GGGGCCCUGCGCUGUUUGUGAUGUCGGGGGAAAGUUUCAACCUCGAUACACAAGAGGACGCCGCUCACGAGGGUGGUGCGCAUGCCCCUCUUUGGAGGGGAAGCCUGAAGCCCUCCAUUUUGGCGCCCACCUGGCUUGCCAGGUUCGAAACACCGUCGGCACACGGCAGAGGCGGGGCGCCU
This 182-nucleotide non-coding RNA is filed under the name Candidatus Rokuibacteriota bacterium. RNAcentral describes it as "Candidatus Rokubacteria bacterium 6S RNA". It matches the Rfam family "6S / SsrS RNA". Rfam says of the family: E. coli 6S RNA was the first non coding RNA to be sequenced, but its function was unknown until recently. It consists of 184 nucleotides that fold into an extended hairpin structure with a large single-stranded internal bulge. RNAcentral also lists the same sequence under 1 other name. Lineage: Bacteria; Candidatus Rokuibacteriota. The record is from RNAcentral.